AGCCCCGAAGUGUUCCACGUCAAAAUGCAAGUUUGAAGAGGAGCCCUAGAGGCUCCGGGGCUU
This 63-nucleotide transfer RNA is filed under the name Anolis allisoni. Its description in RNAcentral is "tRNA-Cys". The record is from RNAcentral. Lineage: Eukaryota; Metazoa; Chordata; Lepidosauria; Squamata; Anolidae.